This 497-nucleotide ribosomal RNA is filed under the name uncultured bacterium. Its description in RNAcentral is "partial 16S ribosomal RNA". It matches the Rfam family "Bacterial small subunit ribosomal RNA", at positions 28 to 507 of the family's 1533-position model. The record is from RNAcentral.
GACGAACGCUGGCGGCGUGCCUAAUACAUGCAAGUAGAACGCUGAAGAGAGGAGCUUGCUCUUCUUGGAUGAGUUGCGAACGGGUGAGUAACGCGUAGGUAACCUGCCUUGUAGCGGGGGAUAACUAUUGGAAACGAUAGCUAAUACCGCAUAACAAUAGGUGACACAUGUCAUUUAUUUGAAAGGGGCAAUUGCUCCACUACAAGAUGGACCUGCGUUGUAUUAGCUAGUAGGUGAGGUAACGGCUCACCUAGGCGACGAUACAUAGCCGACCUGAGAGGGUGAUCGGCCACACUGGGACUGAGACACGGCCCAGACUCCUACGGGAGGCAGCAGUAGGGAAUCUUCGGCAAUGGGGGCAACCCUGACCGAGCAACGCCGCGUGAGUGAAGAAGGGUGUCGGAUCGUAAAGCUCUGUUGUAAGUCAAGAACGAGUGUGAGAGUGGAAAGUUCACACUGUGACGGUAGCUUACCAGAAAGGGACGGCUAACUACGUG